UUUUUUUUUUUUUUUUUUAGACAGAAUCUCACUCUGUCACCCAGGCUGGAGUGCUGUGUUGCGAUCUUGUCUCACUGCAACCUCUGCCUCCCAGGUUCAAGCAAUUUUCCUGCCUCAGCCUCCUGAGUAGCUCCGGGGCCUGUUAGAAAGUGAAAUUCUUUACUGAUCACAGGUCAGGAACCCUGCAUGAGGACUGUGUAGAAAAGGGUAUAAGGCCAGUUGCUCCAAGGGGCUUUUAUCGGUUCUUCAAGUUGAGCUUGACUCCUUAAAGGGAAGUGUACCCUUCCAGUCAAAGCCUUGGUAAAACAACCAGUUUCUCUAAUUGCAUCCUGUUGAAAAAUGAAAUGUAUUCUUUUUGCACUGAUGCAAACAAUUGUAUUUCCAUAAGUUAAGAAUACUCACAGAUAGUUUCAAAAUUCUAGAAGAAGCAGGCAGGGAGAAGCAAACAUGCUCCAGAUUUUUAUCUUGGGGCCUUAAGAGGAGAGGAUCACUCAACUCACAGGUAUUAGAGGACACAAACCCAAUCUUGGGCUUGGCUUUAAAAGGUCUUAUCUGAGAUUCAUUGUGGAACAGAUUUCCAUUAAAGACAAUCCAAAAGGCACAUGUAGAAAUAGUUAUUUUUGCUGUGCUUUAUGCAAAUAAUCAAUGGAUGUAUAAACUAAAGUCUAUUUUGCAAACAACACAGUCCUAUAAUGAUUUUUUUUAACAAAAAUGAGACUAGAGAGAAAAAUUAUGUUUCAAAAGUUAUCAUACAUUUUUCAUUAAAUUCUAAACUCAUUAGAUGUUUUUAAGUUUUUUUCCUAUAUUUUAGACUAACCCUGAUUGUUUCUGUGAACCAACCUGCAAUCUCCAGCUGCAGCUCAGAAAGAACAAGAGGGAUGGGUAAUGUGGUAAUCUGGAUCAAUAUUCUAGUUCUGAGUAAUUAUCCUGCAAAUUCUGCCACAUGAUAGGAACAAGUAGGGUGCCCAUCACCCGGAGAUUUCCUUUUUGGGAAAGUAAAACCACGGGAGUUAACCAAAGCCAAGCAUCUUGUAACAAAAUCUUAGCAAAUAUUACUACAGCCACCAGUGAUCUGGGCAUGUCAGAAGACAUCCUUUUCUCUCCUUUAUUGGAGAAGAACUCAAUUCCAAGCUUCAGGUGAAAGCCCUAGGAAAGAAAGCUGGAUUUAAGUAAUCCAGAGUCAGAUGGUAAUAGAGGUUGAAAUGCACAGCACACGUGACCAUGGCUAAUUCCUGCCAAUUAAGCCAAGCCUCCCAUUUCAUGGAUGAAAGUCAUGCUGGUAUCCGUGACAUAAAUUAGGUCUUGGAAACUCUAAGGCUACUUACAGUGGAGAGAAUAGAGGCAUAGGUAAGAGUGGGUAAUUCCUAUUGUCUAGGCCCUCUCUGCUUCAUGGGUGCAAGCCACUUUGGGACCCAUGGGUAGCACCCUGUCACAGUUGCUGGGAGUUGGCAAUACAAGGAUGGAGGAAAGAAAGAGGAACGUCUCAUUUUUCCUUUCUCACACACCCUGGGUAUUUUCUAGGAAAUAGUGUAACCAUCCAUCUUCAGUCUGUACCCCUUUCGAAUGCAUCCUGAACUCUUAGAACUCCUUUGAAUAAAAUGCCUUCUUUUUUCCUUUCUCCUCCUCUUCCCUUUCUUCACUGAUAGGAUUGUGUCUGGGUACUACAGGAUAUUCCCCUUAGAUGGAUCCUCCAAACUGGGAAAAGUUAAUUUCCCACACCUUAAACUGGUUGGCUUAGGAUUGGGCUUAGGGGAAGGGAACACAGAAGCCUGACAUGCUGGCAAAAGGAUAAAACUUUUUUACCAGUCGAGGUUUUGGCCUCCCUCUCUCCAUGGCAAAGUGAUAAAAGGCCUCAGGAUUUUUGAGCUGUCCUUACCUCUCCUCUUGUUUCAUUUUGAUUCAUGUUUUCUAAUGACCUGUUUUGUCUCUUCUCAUCUUCAGGCCAUCAAACUCCAAACAGUCAUGCAACCAGAGCCUCAAAUGAUUGCCCUUUCUGCUAGGGACCCUUAGAUAGGCCUAUGAGGGAGCUCUGAAUACCAUUGUCCCAAAAACAGCGCCCCCCAUCAGCAGGAAGGGGUUAAGACUGUUCUUUAUUUUUAUCCUUAUCCUUAUUCCAAUUGGCAGUUAGAUGUACUUCUUUAGAGGGAUUAAUGAGACUGCCAAGUAAAAAGGGUUCCCUGGAGAAUCUUUAGCCAGCCUGAGCACUGGGAGAAUGGGGUGAAGCUUUGGAAAGUUCACACCAUUUGCUGGGGAGAGGAGCCUGGCCUCUCUUGUUCUUGGG
This 2281-nucleotide long non-coding RNA is filed under the name Macaca fascicularis (crab-eating macaque). Its description in RNAcentral is "lncRNA (ENSMFAG00000047742.1)". Lineage: Eukaryota; Metazoa; Chordata; Mammalia; Primates; Cercopithecidae. The record is from RNAcentral.